UUUUAGAAGUCUGUGGGAGAUUAUGGAUUCGUGCGACCAGCGGUCCGGGGUCCGUCCCCGCGCUUUUUGCCUUGUGAGGCUUCGGCCCUGCAUUGUAGACUCGCGGAUCCAGGAAUGAAGGAGGGUUGUUCGGGGGAGAACGUACUGGAACGUGAGAGGUGAAAUUCUUAGACCGUUCCAAGACGAACUACAGCGAAGGCAUUCUCCAAGGAUACCUUCCUCAAUCAAGAACCAAAGUGUGGAGAUCGAAGAU
Molecule: ribosomal RNA, 253 nt
Filed under: Bodo sp.
Lineage: Eukaryota; Euglenozoa; Kinetoplastea; Eubodonida; Bodonidae
Description: partial small subunit ribosomal RNA
Rfam family: Eukaryotic small subunit ribosomal RNA
Source: RNAcentral